Molecule: ribosomal RNA, 468 nt
Filed under: uncultured bacterium
Lineage: Bacteria
Description: partial 16S ribosomal RNA
Rfam family: Bacterial small subunit ribosomal RNA
Source: RNAcentral
GACGAACGCUGGCGGCGUGCUUAACACAUGCAAGUCGAACGGAAAGGCCCUGCUUUUGUGGGGUGCUCGAGUGGCGAACGGGUGAGUAACACGUGAGUAACCUGCCCUUGACUUUGGGAUAACUUCAGGAAACUGGGGCUAAUACCGGAUAGGAGCUCCUGCUGCAUGGUGGGGGUUGGAAAGUUUCGGCGGCUGGGGAUGGACUCGCGGCUUAUCAGCUUGUUGGUGGGGUAGUGGCUUACCAAGGCUUUGACGGGUAGCCGGCCUGAGAGGGUGACCGGCCACAUUGGGACUGAGAUACGGCCCAGACUCCUACGGGAGGCAGCAGUGGGGAAUAUUGCACAAUGGGCGGAAGCCUGAUGCAGCAACGCCGCGUGCGGGAUGACGGCCUUCGGGUUGUAAACCGCUUUCGCCCGUGACGAAGCGUGAGUGACGGUAAUGGGUAAAGAAGCACCGGCUAACUACGUG